CCUCUGACCUACUGCUCCUGCUCAAUGCAUCCUCUGGCUCCCUCCUGAGCCAGGUUCCCUCCCUUCCCAGUGCUGGAUGAAGUAUGGAGUCCUGUACUGGCAGGAUGUUGUGCUGGAAGUUAACACUGCCCUCUAGGAGCUCACAGAUUCAUCACAACACCUUGAGAGAAGCAGGAUUACAAGUGAUCUUGCUGCUGUGAGUAGAGAUGGAGGGGAGAGGUGAGGUGGAGAUCUAUAUUUCAAAAUUCAUCACCUGCCUUUGGUUCCAAGUGAGAAGAGGUGCUGCCGAUGGAUAGAGGGGACAGCAUUCAUCAUAUCAACACGAAGGAGCUGAGAACCAGAGUCCCAGCUGCUCUGCUAGAAACUCUUCCUGCAGGAGGGGGACAAAGGAACCAGCUCUAGAUAUGCAACAGGAAACCCAUAAACUACCUGCUCCUGAGGGUGGGAUAUAAAAUAUAACACCAUGAUCAUGGAAGUACAUUACUUACAAACACAAAAAUACAGUACUAGUGGAAAAUACAUUAACCAAAUAUCACUGUUUCAUACUGCAGAUGAUCAAAAGAUUACAUGAAUUUUAAUCCUUUGCAAAAUACAGUAUAAUCUCUCCCCUUUCACCUAUUAAUAUAUCUAUAAAAGAGCUAGUAACAUGGUUACAGGGCAAGCAGCACUUUAGGCCCCUUUCAGCCCUUCUCAAGCAUAUCCUUCAGGUGACAGGCCUGGCUUCCUGCACCUUUCUCAAAGGGUCAAACCACGUGAUCCAUCCACUCUUGGAUUGCAUCUCUGGGGGGGCAACCCCGUUUCUCAACCAUGUUAACCCAACAGGCCCAGCUGUUUUCCCUCAUUGUUGUCCUUUAAUAACGUUAGAUGGAAUCCUGUGGCUGAGAGUGAAUGGGUUGUAAAAGGAGGUGAAGAGCUUGUACAUUUCAGCAACUGUGGGGUUUGCAAAGUAAAAGAGAUUUGUGUUAACAGGGCAAAUUGAAGCAUUGCUAAAAGAGGACAGAGUUAAGUUUGGAUGGACAACCUUAACUGCAUUUCCUGGUUUUCAGAAGUCUGAGUUUUUACUCAAUUCAACAUUCUGCAAGGGGACAAUAUACCACCAAGCAAUCUUAACUCUACAUUAACAUAGUUUUUUGCCUUUGAAUUCAUCCAAAGAUAUAUAGCAAGUAGAGGAAAGGGAUAAAACAAAGGUCUAUACUUGUAUUUCCCCUUACCUAAACCUUAAUAUUUCCUUGCAAGCUUUGGUAAAUUCCAUUCAUCCCAGUUACCUCCAUCUAUGUUUGGGAGAGAGAGAGAGAGAGAGAAGGGUCUGCUCAUUGCAGUUUUUCCCUUUCUCUGUGUCUUUGUCAGCAUCUCCUUCUUGGGCAGCUGCCGACAACCCACUCAACACUUCCCCCUCUUUCUUCCUACUCUAACAUCUCUAAGGUGCAAUAUGUUUUGAAUCUAGGCUUAGAUCUAGAAAGAGUAAACCUUGUCAGCUGGGUUGGAGCCAGGUAAGACCGUUUUCCAAUCAAUAGUUUCCCCAUUGUUUCUUCAAUGACCCUUGAUAUUCUGUGGACCGUACCUUAUAUUUGCCAUCGUUUUAUUUCCUGUUUGUUCUCCUCUUCUUCCCCUCCUCCAGCAGCCUACUUUGAUUUAACUCCUUGCAGUCAGAUAGUAUAAUAUCAACUAGGUAAACUGAGGUGCAUGUGCUAUUUGCAAAAAAAUAAUUAUACACAUAACUCCCUUAUUUUCCACAGCUAGAUAUUAUUAUCAGACAACUUUAAUAGAUGACAUUAAAAUGGAAAUGAAGGGCUUUGACCUAACAAGAAAACAUCCUGCUUUAUUAGUAUCUACUCACCAUUAUAGUUUGUUAAUAUGUGA
Molecule: long non-coding RNA, 1860 nt
Organism: Caretta caretta (loggerhead turtle)
Lineage: Eukaryota; Metazoa; Chordata; Testudines; Cheloniidae
Source: RefSeq, a predicted model, not a curated record